UGUAGCUCUGUGGUAGAGCAUUUGCCCAGCAUGCACAAGGCCCUGGGUUCGAUCCCCAGUA
Molecule: transfer RNA, 61 nt
Filed under: Ictidomys tridecemlineatus (thirteen-lined ground squirrel)
Lineage: Eukaryota; Metazoa; Chordata; Mammalia; Rodentia; Sciuridae
Description: Spermophilus tridecemlineatus (thirteen-lined ground squirrel) tRNA
Rfam family: tRNA
About the family: Transfer RNA (tRNA) molecules are approximately 80 nucleotides in length. Their secondary structure includes four short double-helical elements and three loops (D, anti-codon, and T loops).
Source: Rfam by way of RNAcentral